RNAcentral lists this unclassified non-coding RNA (375 nucleotides) under uncultured Eubacteriales bacterium. Its description in RNAcentral is "contains 16S-23S intergenic spacer region". The record is from RNAcentral. Lineage: Bacteria; Bacillati; Bacillota; Clostridia; Eubacteriales.
UCCUGGUUAACCCAGGCAGUCUCGCUAGAGUCCUCAACUUAAUGGUAGUAACUAACGACAAGGGUUGCGCUCGUUGCGGGACUUAACCCAACAUCUCACGACACGAGCUGACGACAACCAUGCACCACCUGUCACCUUGUCCCCGAAGGGAUUUCCUCGAUUAAGAGUAAUGCAAGGGAUGUCAAGUGUAGGUAAGGUUCUUCGCGUUGCUUCGAAUUAAACCACAUGCUCCGCUACUUGUGCGGGUCCCCGUCAAUUCCUUUGAGUUUUAAUCUUGCGACCGUACUCCCCAGGCGGAAUACUUAAUGCGUUAGCGGCGGCACGGAGGUGUUGAAACCCCCACACCUAGUAUUCAUCGUUUACGGCGUGGACUAC